AUGAACGCUGGCGGCGUGCUUGAUACAUGCAAGUCGAACGGAUCGAGUCGCAAGGCUUGGUCAGUGGCGGACGGGUGAGUAACACGUAGGUAAUCUGCCCCAAAGUGGGGAAUAACUGUUCGAAAGGGCGGCUAAUUCCGCAUGAGCUCCUUCGCAAGGGGGAGGAAAGGGACGCGAGUCCCGCUUUGGGAUGAGCCUGCGGCCGAUUAGCUAGUUGGCGGGGUAAAGGCCCACCAAGGCGACGAUCGGUAGCUGGUCUGAGAGGACGAUCAGCCACACUGGAACUGAUACACGGUCCAGACUCCUACGGGGGGCAGCAGUAAGGAAUAUUGCACAAUGGGGGAAACCCUGAUGCAGCAACGCCGCGUGAGCGAAGAAGGCCUUCGGGUCGUAAAGCUCUUUUCUGGGGGACGAGGAAGGACGGUACCUCAGGAAUAAGUCUCGGCUAACUACGU
RNAcentral lists this ribosomal RNA (455 nucleotides) under uncultured bacterium. RNAcentral's name for it is "bacterial SSU rRNA". It matches the Rfam family "Bacterial small subunit ribosomal RNA", at positions 29 to 506 of the family's 1533-position model. The record is from RNAcentral.